This is a microRNA precursor of Ailuropoda melanoleuca (giant panda), 68 nucleotides long. Ensembl annotates it as microRNA 187. The record is from Ensembl. Lineage: Eukaryota; Metazoa; Chordata; Mammalia; Carnivora; Ursidae.
CUCGGGCUACAACACGGGACCCGGGCGCUGCUCCGACCCCUCGUGUCUUGUGUUGCAGCCGGAGGGAC